Molecule: unclassified non-coding RNA, 2903 nt
Filed under: Leishmania donovani
Lineage: Eukaryota; Euglenozoa; Kinetoplastea; Trypanosomatida; Trypanosomatidae
Description: LdHU3.13.1400
Source: RNAcentral
AGAAGAAAAACACAUGUCACACACGCGCCCUUUGCCCUUUUCCUCUCCCCGGACCUUCCGCUGAAAGUUACCGUUGGCCGCCUCUCGAGCGCCAUGUCUCGCCUCGAGACAUACAUGCAACCCGGCACCCAGCCCGCUCUCCACACGCGCAAGCUGUGCUCGUGUAACGCGGUGCUGGCGCUGGGUAGAACGGAUGCCGUAACCACGGACGCACCUGUCCCUGACACGUCGCUCUUUGGGGUCAUUCUGUUGAACAGCCCGGCGAACACAGACGAGGACUUCGCCUCUUACAUCCGCCUUUUUGAGCGCCACCGUGGCCGUGUCGCGCCGGCGUCCUGGGCGAGGGAGGGCGAAGAGGAAGCCGAGGCCACCCCCGCCAGCAGCAGGCUCCAUGAGCACCGUCCCUACUUCAUUUGCGCGGACGGCGCGUACGCUGCGCUGAAGAGGUACUGCGCAAAGCGCUGCAUCGGUAUCGCGGGCAGCGGCAGCACCGCGGCGCAGAGCGCCUUCAUCGCGUCGCGCUUGUGCGAUGCCCUCAUCGGGGACUUGGACAGCCUCCCCGCCACGCACGCCAUGCUCCUCGCUGACGCUGGUGACGCAGAAGUCGUGCUCGCCGCUGCGGCUGAUGCAGAGCCGCCUCGCCGCCGUGAUGAUGGCCAGGGCAACAAUGGUGGCGACAAGCGCCUGCUUUUCCAUGAUAGCGUGAACUCGAUUCCCGUGACGCUGCUGGAGAAGAUCCGGCGGCGGCGUGAUGCCUACAGGCACCGCGAGGCGUCCGCGUCGCCCACAACGCCAGUCGAGCCGUUUGUUCUGCUGCCCGUAGCGUGCCAGAUGUCGACGGACUUUAUGAAGUGUGUGGCACUGCUGCAGCGUCUGUGGGCACUUGACGUUGGGAUGCCGGAUUCGCUGAACGGGGUGGACCCCCUGCGAGGCUUCGAUAAAGAGGUUCCGCUUGCGGCGCAGUCGCCCGACGUCACUUCCCUUGCAUUCGAUUGCGUGGCCCGUCUCCCCGAGGCAUUGUCCACCGCCGAGGUGCAGGCGGGGGAGGAUCGGCAGGAGGCUGACCGCUGCCGACGCCUUCUCGAGUCGAUAACGACAUCGGCGCCAUUCACCACUGAACAGCCUGCUCAACGCCUGGAGACGCGCGUCCUGCCCAACAUCGCCGUCCUCGGCGCACUUGGCGGUCGCAUCGAUCACGAGUUCGGUGUUGUCUGCUGCCUUUUAUGUUACGCGCGAGUCUUUCAUAUCAUGGCCAUGAACAAGUACAACGUGCUCUUUGCGUGCUGGCCAGACGGGGUGACGCAGCUCGUCCUACCGCCGUCGUGGUCGUCUUCAGGCCCGGCGCCGAGGGAGACGGCAGCGCCGUACAUGUGCGGCAUUAUCCCUUUCGGCUUCGUGCGCGAAAUGGAGACGGCCGGGCUUCGCUGGAAUGUGGUGAAAGGCCGCCCCGAGGUGUACGACGGCUACACGCAGACGAACAAUUACCGCCUCGCUUUCGACGGACUUGUCUCGGCCUGCAACACUGUGACAUCCCCGGUCGUGACGAUCGAUGUGCGGCCGCUGCACUGCGCGCUAGGGCCGUGCUUUCCAGGCUCCGCAGCUCCCAUGAAGUGCAGUUGCGACCCGGAUGCGCCCUCCGUAAAUCCGCCCACCCUGUUCACGCUGGGGUUGCCCAGGGUAUGCCCUGAUUAUCACGAAGAUGCGCCGGCGUCCUUGUAAGGACAGCGAGAGCGGAAGGCAUCAGACCAUGGCAGGUGGGCGAAGGGCAAAGGGAUGCGGAAUGUGACUGAAGGCGUUCCUAGUGAUGAUGGCAGAUGACGCCUGUGUACAGUGCUUCCUCGCAUUUUAGGCUUUCGAGCACGCCGGCUCAACGAAACGAACGGCAGUCUUCUGUGCGUCGACGGAUAGCUGGUAAUGUGUUGUGGGCUUGCCGCACUACCGUCCACGACUCGCCACGCCCUCCCCACGCUCGACUCCUUUUUUUCGCCGAUGCUGUACGGGAGCGGUCAUUUAUCGGCGCUCACGAAGCCGACCACCCGCCCCGCCCCGCCCCGCCCCGCCUGUGCCUCGGACUUUUUUUGCCCGCCGUGUGUCCGUGCUUGAACAUGUCCCUCUCCACUUCCCGUCCGCGACGCGUAUUCGGUGAUCGCACUUCUGCACGCGUGGGAAGACGUGCGCGAGAAGACACCGUCAAAAUACAGCGAGCGACGCGCGAAAAAGAAAAACAGAACGCACUGCAACCCCAAGAGUCGCUGAGGCAUCGUGACGGGCUGGAUGCUGGCUGGGCCUGCAGAUGGGCCUCGAGCGGUCGUGGUGCUGGUGGUAGUGUGUGCAGGCACCCAGAGCGGGAGGCUGAAGGUGAGGCCACGUUUGUAGCCCGUUUGACGAGUGCAAGGAGCCACUUGCAAAAUAAAACGGGAGAGAAAGAGAGAGCGGGGUGGUGUGGGGUGGGGGAGCAGGCACGCACACACCUUACCGGGUGUAGUCUUCCGGCUAUCACCGACGUCUCUUCCGUUAUCUCCCUCUUCUGGUAGUUCCGCCUUUCCUUUUUACUCUGUGAGUGCGUGUGUGUGCACCACCCCCGUAACCGUUGAUCAGCUCGUGAUCCCAAGUGCACGCACGUGUCUCCUCCUCUCCUUAUCGUUCCCACCUCGCUUGUCUGUUUCGUUGUAUGAACUGCGUCUCUUGCGGGCCAACAUGGCUGCUAUAUUGGCCUACGUGCAUGGCCUUUACACAUGUGCAUCCCUUUCUUAUCGAAGCCCAUCCCUCUGCCUCUGUCUCCCGCGAAUAUAUAACGGCUCGCUUUUCCACCAUCUGCCCACCACAACGAAGAGACCUGCCGCAACGCGGCAGCAACAUCGUCGCAACAUCAUAUACACAGAUACAUAUACGCUGUGUAUAAC